This 28-nucleotide small RNA is filed under the name Bombyx mori (domestic silkworm). Its description in RNAcentral is "ovarian small RNA-24479". The record is from RNAcentral. Lineage: Eukaryota; Metazoa; Arthropoda; Insecta; Lepidoptera; Bombycidae.
UCAAAUCAGGUGAGGUCUAAUAUAUGCC